This 438-nucleotide long non-coding RNA is filed under the name Anas platyrhynchos platyrhynchos (common mallard). RNAcentral describes it as "lncRNA (ENSAPLG00000027826.1)". The record is from RNAcentral. Lineage: Eukaryota; Metazoa; Chordata; Aves; Anseriformes; Anatidae.
CUUUUUCCAGCUUUAUGGCUUGCUCCGAUGAUGUCUGAGGGAGGUGCUUCUUCAGGGGUGGAAGUUCUGCCCCUCUGUCUAUCCACCAAAUGCUGAGAGACUGAGAGAGAUUUGGCAUAUCUGAUUCCUGUCAUCAGUAGAACCAGGAAGCUGGGAGAAGCAUGAAAAUUGGUUUUGGAAAUAGAUGACUUUCCCAAAUCAUUUGGAUAAACAGAAUUCAAACAAGUUGGAAGAAAUGUUCCUUUAUGAAAGGUGGUUAAAGGAUAGCAAAGGGUUUCCCUGGCCUUACAUCACCCAUUUCUCCUGCAGCAACUCUUCCUGUAGCUUCUCUAUAGUACAAGAAAGGAUAUAUUUACUUUCCAUGGCAGAAUAUCCUUGGAACAGACUUUAUUAGGGUAAAAGAGGAAGAAAAUGGAAACCAAUUAUGUUCAAGUCUCU